CGCAUCUGUUGAAUUUACUUCAUAGAAAUGGUUUAGUGUUUUCGAACAAGUCCGUGAGCAUCUUAACCGUUAUCAGAGGAGAUUCUUCUAGUGUUUGAUGGCCUUCUGUAUCCCAUGAUGAGCAAACCUCCUGUCCAACAACAUCUCCAAGGCACACUGAUCCAUAUGACUAGCAGCGAAAAAUACAUCGUGGACCAAAGAGGAAACUGACAACACACUGACAGAAGAAGACAGAGAAGGUCACUUCUGAUCCAUCAAUGUCCUCAUCUUCUGUGUCUGAAUUGAACAACUGGGCAACAGCUUUUGAACAGCUUUCUUCAUCAAACAUGCCGGGUUCCCUCUCAUCAUGGUUGAUCGCUGCCAGUGUACGUAUUACAUCCCUGUGUCAGCGGGAAAUGGUCCGACAGUCAACCUCGCGUGUGGAGACUUCAGAAGAUGCCAGACCUCACAAAGAUUUCAGAUGAUGGAAACUAUAGAUGAACAUGCAAAGCUGCUAAAUAAUCCUUAUAUUGUAAUCAUUGUCCUAAAAGGAAUCGAUAAGAAUCGGAAUCAAUAAGCAGAAUCAGAAUCGAUAAAAUUCAAAUGAUACCCAACCCUAGAAAUGAGGGACACCUGUUCCACUCACCGGUCUCGCAUCCCACGGAGGAGAUCGGAGGGAUACAAAAGAGGAGCGACGACAGUGAGGGACGAGAGAGGACCAGGCCUGGACUUUAUUUCAUGUUUGUGCGCGACAGUCGUCUGCGAGGGGCUGGCGCGAUGUUUUGUCUUUAUUUUAUUAUUAAAGCUCUGUUUGAUUGUCCGCCGGU
Carassius carassius (crucian carp) is the source of this 806-nucleotide long non-coding RNA. RefSeq lists it as uncharacterized. The transcript is spliced from 6 exons. The record is from RefSeq and is a predicted model, not a curated record. NCBI's taxonomy places the organism in Eukaryota, Metazoa, Chordata, Actinopteri, Cypriniformes, Cyprinidae.